UCUGUGCUCAUAGCACGCCAUAUGUACUGUGUGCCAUAUGCAUUCAGUCAAAAUUCUGGAUAUGGAAUAGCUGGCUAGCAAGAAUACUCUUGUCGUUACAUCAUUGAGGACCACAUGAUGUAUCUGAAUUAAGUCAUCCAUGUUCCCUCAGGAUGCUCCCUGCAUUGUUGGAAAAGGACCUAACUGUAGCAGCGGGCAGCAGAAUCCUCAGACGGCACAAACCAAAUAGCUCCUGAAGGGCUCGGUUGGACUACAGCUGUUUGUUUAUUUAACUCCAACUUGUAAUUAUGGCUCUGACAGACUGCACCAUGGAGAAAGCCCAUAUCUGUCUCGAGUUUGAACAGAGGGGAGAGUUUGGAUGCAGAGGUAAGAGUUCAGGGGCAUGAACACUACGCUGCACCUGCCCCUAAGACAUAUGUUCUCCAGGGGAAUUACGCCAGAUGCAUCUUUCAGGAAAUGGAUCCCAGUGAGGUCUGUUAACCUCUCGGCUCCUUAAACGAAGCAGGAAUUAUCCCUGGCUAUUCCCAAGCCUGGCCCUCUGGCACCCCGUUGCUGCCUCGCUCACGUUCAUGGACUAGAUCAGGAAAUACUGUGAGAAUAUCAUCCCUUUCUCAAUGUGAUCAACCGUGUACGUCUUAAUUAAAAUCUACAGUAAAAGUACUUGUUACUGUUAAAACUGAGUGUGGAGCAUUUCUAAAAGAGUUCAGCUGUAUGAACGUCUUUGUGGAUUACUUUAAUUGAAUGCCAUGUGAAUUCAACGUUUAUAACCACUCAUAAAAUGUGAGGGGAAAAGUGACUCGGUAAGAUCACUCAAUAUCCUGUUUUCUUUGAGGCAAUGACAAAAUGGCAGAAAUCUUUCCGUAGUAAU
Long non-coding RNA from Oncorhynchus kisutch (coho salmon), 868 nucleotides. RefSeq lists it as uncharacterized. The record is from RefSeq and is a predicted model, not a curated record. The transcript is spliced from 4 exons. NCBI's taxonomy places the organism in Eukaryota, Metazoa, Chordata, Actinopteri, Salmoniformes, Salmonidae.